RNAcentral lists this ribosomal RNA (248 nucleotides) under uncultured bacterium. RNAcentral describes it as "partial 16S ribosomal RNA". It matches the Rfam family "Bacterial small subunit ribosomal RNA", at positions 103 to 334 of the family's 1533-position model. The record is from RNAcentral.
CGGGUGAGUAACACGUGGAUAAUCUUACCUUUUAGUCGUGGGACUAACCCCGACCGAAAGGCGAGCUAAUACCGGAUAAGACCACGGAACAUAAGUUCUGCGGUUAAAGGCAGGGACCUUCGGGCCUGCCUCUAGAAGAUGAGUCCGCGUCCCAUCAGCUUGUUGGUAAGGUAACGGCUUACCAAGGCUAAGACGGGUAGCUGGUCUGAGAGGACGAUCAGCCACACUGGCACUGGAACACGGGCCAG